Molecule: non-coding RNA, 46 nt
Filed under: Schistosoma margrebowiei
Lineage: Eukaryota; Metazoa; Platyhelminthes; Trematoda; Strigeidida; Schistosomatidae
Source: RNAcentral
GCACUCCUGAGGGGUCCCGCAAUAGGACGAAACGGCCGUCCAGUGC